RNAcentral lists this ribosomal RNA (430 nucleotides) under uncultured bacterium. RNAcentral describes it as "bacterial SSU rRNA". It matches the Rfam family "Bacterial small subunit ribosomal RNA", at positions 29 to 483 of the family's 1533-position model. The record is from RNAcentral.
AGCGAACGCUAGCGGCGGGCCUAACACAUGCAAGUCGAGCGGGGAGCAAUCCCAGCGGCGAACGGGUGAGUAACACGUGGGUAAUGUGCCUUCUGGUGGUGAAUAACCUUGGGAAACCAGGGCUAAUACCGCAUAUCGUGCUUCGGCAUGAAAGCCUUCGGGCGCCAGUAGAGCAGCCUGCGUCCCAUUAUUUAGUCCUAGUUGGUAGGGUAAUGGCCUACCAAGGGUACGAUGGGUAGCUGGUCUGAGAGGAUGAUCAGCCACACUGGAACUGAGACACGGUCCAGACUCCUACGGGAGGCAGCAGUGGGGAAUAUUGCGCAAUGGGGGAAACCCUGACGCAGCCACGCCGCGUGAGUGAUGAAGGCCUUCGGGUUGUAAGACUCUGUCGGGAGGGACGGAAGGGAGCGAAUCUCUGACGGUACCGUCG